Molecule: ribosomal RNA, 462 nt
Filed under: uncultured Planctomycetota bacterium
Lineage: Bacteria; Pseudomonadati; Planctomycetota
Description: bacterial SSU rRNA
Rfam family: Bacterial small subunit ribosomal RNA
Source: RNAcentral
CGCCGGAAAGGGGACGAAGCGACGUCGCGUGGGUGAGGAAAGCCUUCGGGGUGUGAGAGCUGUGAGGGGUGAAGAAAAGUGGACUCGCGAAUAUCGGGGCUAUUUGAGAAAGGGGCCAAAGGAAGCGCCGGGGAACUCUGUGCGACCGGCCGCGGGAAAACAGAGAGGGGAAGCGUGGUGCGGAAUAUUUGGGGGUAAGAAGAGCGUGGGGGGGUUUGUGAGUCAAAGAUGAAAGCCUUUUGUUCAACGGAAGAAUUGCAUCUGAGAAAAUAACCUUGAGUGUAGGAGGGGGAAUGGAACUUCUGGUGGAGCGGUGAAAAGCGGAGAUAUCAUAAGGAAGGCCGGCGGCGAAAGCGAUUCUCUGGCCUAUUACUGACACUCAGUGUGCGAAAGCUAGGGAAGCAAACGGAAUUAAAUACCCCGGUAGUCCUAGCCGUAAACGAUGGGCACUAAGUAGAGGGG